This 491-nucleotide ribosomal RNA is filed under the name uncultured bacterium. RNAcentral describes it as "partial 16S ribosomal RNA". It matches the Rfam family "Bacterial small subunit ribosomal RNA", at positions 28 to 507 of the family's 1533-position model. The record is from RNAcentral.
GAUGAACGCUGGCUACAGGCUUAACACAUGCAAGUCGAGGGGAAACGACGGGGAAGCUUGCUUCCCCGGGCGUCGACCGGCGCACGGGUGAGUAACGCGUAUCCACCCUGCCUCUGACUGAGGGAUAACCCGUCGAAAGUCGGCCUAAUACCUCAUGGCAUCGUCUGCGGGCAUCCAACGACGAUUAAAGAUUUCAUCCGUCAGAGAUGGGGCUGCGUCUGAUUAGCUUGUUGGCGGGGUAACGGCCCACCAAUGUGACGAUCAGUAGGGGUACUGAGAGGAAGGUCCCCCACAUUGGAACUGAGACACGGUCCAAACACCGACGGGAGGCAGGAGUGAGGAAUAUUGGUCAAUGGGCGAGAGCCUGAACCAGCCAAGUAGGGUGCAGGAUGACGGCCCUAUGGGUUGUAAGCUGCUUGUAGGGGGGGAUAAAGUGAGGGACGUGUCCUUCAUUGAAGGUACAGAAUGAAUAAGGACCGGCUAAUUACGUG